This 1801-nucleotide ribosomal RNA is filed under the name human gut metagenome. RNAcentral's name for it is "bacterial LSU rRNA". It matches the Rfam family "Bacterial large subunit ribosomal RNA", at positions 181 to 1977 of the family's 2925-position model. The record is from RNAcentral.
AACGCAGGGAACUGAAACAUCUUAGUACCUGUAGGAAGAGAAAAUAAAUUAAUGAUUCCCCCAGUAGUGGCGAGCGAACGGGGAACAGCCCAAACCAGUGGCGUCGCAAGGCGUGGCUGGGGUUGUAGGACCGCGACAUUGUACUGAAAUGGUGAGUGGAAGUAUCUGGAAAGUUACAUCACAGAAGGUGAUAAUCCUGUACACGAAGCCAGAUCAGGCAUAGCGGUAUCCUGAGUAACGCGGGACACGAGGAAUCCUGCGCGAAUCUGCCGGGACCAUCCGGUAAGGCUAAAUACUCCCGUGAGACCGAUAGCGAACGAGUACUGUGAAGGAAAGGUGAAAAGAACCCCGAGCAGGGGAGUGAAAUAGUUCCUGAAACCAUACGCCUACAAGCGGUCGGAGCAUCGCAAGAUGUGACGGCGUGCCUUUUGCAUAAUGAUCCUACGAGUUACCGUCACUGGCGAGGUUGAGUGUCACGAGACACGUAGCCGCAGUGAAAGCGAGCCUGAAUAGGGCGCACAGUCAGUGGGGGUAGACGCGAAACCAAGUGAUCUACACUUGGCCAGGAUGAAGUCCCGGUAACACGGGAUGGAGGUCCGCACCAAUAAGCGUUGAAAAGCUUCUGGAUGAGCCGAGUGUAGGAGUGAAAGGCCAAUCAAACUUGGAGAUAGCUCGUACUCCCCGAAAGGCAUUUAGGUGCCGCGUCGGAUGGUCACCGUGAGAGGUAGAGCGACCGAUAGGACAAGAGGGCUUCACCGCCUAUCGAGUCCUGACGAACUCCGAAUGCUCACGGUCUGCAGUCCGGCAGUAAGGGGGCGGGUGCUAAGGUCCGUCCCCGAGAGGAGAAGAAUCCAGACCGCCGUCUAAGGUCCCGGAGUUCUGCCUGAGUUAGUCUAACGAAGUCUGGUCCCUAUGACAGCUAGGAUGUUGGCUUGGAAGCAGCCAUUCAUUCAAAGAGUGCGUAACAGCUCACUAGUCGAGGGUCCGGGCAUGGAUAAUAAUCGGGUAUAAGGCAGACACCGAAGGCGCGGGAUAGCAAUUAUAAAAGUAUCGGUAGGGGAGCAUACUCACAGCGUCGAAUGGUGUACGUAAGUUAUCCUGGAGCGGUGAGUAAAGCAAAUGUAGGAAUAAGUAACGAUAAGGAGGGUUAGAUUCCCUCCCGCUGUAAGACCAAGGUUUCCCGGGCAAUGCCAAUCAGCCCGGGGUCAGUCGGGUCCUAAGUCUAAGCCGAACGGCGAUGGCGAUGGCAGAGACGGUUAAUAUUCCGUCACUGCCGCAUGGGGCGACGUGGAGACGGAGCAGUGAAACCACCGCGGGGCGACGGAAGUCCCCGUUGAAGAGUGUAGGCGUUGAGGAUGGCAGGCAAAUCCACCAUCCGAGCUGAACUUGACAGUACGGAGUCCUCCUCGGAGGAAUCUGAUAGUGUGGGUAAUCAUACUCCCGAGAAAAUCCGCUAAGCUUAACCCAUGCGGCACCCGUACCGCAAACGGACACACGUGGUCGGGUAGAACAUACUAAGGCGUUGAGAGAUUCAUGGUUAAGGAACUAGGCAAACUGACCCCGUAACUUCGGGAUAAGGGGUCCUCGUGAAGAGCGAGGCGCAGAGAAUAGGUCCAGGCAACUGUUUAACAAAAACACAGGGCUGUGCAAACUCGAAAGAUGAGGUAUACAGCCUGACACCUGCCCGGUGCCGGAAGGUUAAGAGGAGAUGUCACUCGCAAGAGGAAGCAUUGAAUUGAAGCCCCGGUAAACGGCGGCCGUAACUAUAACGGUCCUAAGGUAGCGAAAUUCCUUGUCGGGU